Long non-coding RNA from Chiroxiphia lanceolata (lance-tailed manakin), 529 nucleotides. RefSeq lists it as uncharacterized. The transcript has 3 exons. Lineage: Eukaryota; Metazoa; Chordata; Aves; Passeriformes; Pipridae. The record is from RefSeq and is a predicted model, not a curated record.
UGAUUCAGCAACUUUAUUUUUUAGAUCGGAAGAAAGAACAAACAACUAUUUUCAAGAUAACUUUGGAUCAUUAAAACAAAUAUGGCCAAACAUGUGUAGCCAUCCUGAAGCUCUUUACAACAGAGAAUAAGGAAAUAUAAACAGCUUUUUAGGCAUGUUUUGAAUUCUUGGACUUCCUAGCAAAAUUCUGCACUGCAUAUCUAUGGCAGUAAGAGCACUGCAGUUAGCACAGAAGAUGCUGUUAAUGUGAAGGUUGCUGUUAAACUAAGUACAGAGCAACUAAUCUUUAGCUGAGAAAGAAGACUGCCAACAGGAAAAUCAGGGUACUGGAGAUAGAAAGGACAUUAUAGCAGUUCUGGGAGAGAAGAGGUUGUUCAUGUUCUCCACUGACAAACAGAAAUAAGAAGCAGAAAUGCGGAGGUAGGAGCUACUCUCACUAUCUCCCAGUGCUCCCUUCCUCAGGACUCUCAGCCCCUAAAGUCACUUCCCAAUCUGUGCAUGAGACACUGAAAUGGCAAUGGUUAAUGAC